This 706-nucleotide ribosomal RNA is filed under the name uncultured bacterium. RNAcentral describes it as "partial 16S ribosomal RNA". It matches the Rfam family "Bacterial small subunit ribosomal RNA", at positions 125 to 851 of the family's 1533-position model. The record is from RNAcentral.
CCUGCCCCCUCCCCCGGGAUAGCCGCCCGAAAGGACGGGUAAUACCGGAUACCCCCGGGCGCCGCAUGGCGCCCGGGCUAAAGCCCCGACGGGAGGGGAUGGCUCCGCGGCCCAUCAGGUAGACGGCGGGGUGACGGCCCACCGUGCCGACAACGGGUAGCCGGGUUGAGAGACCGACCGGCCAGAUUGGGACUGAGACACGGCCUAGACUCCUACGGGAGGCAGCAGUGGGGAAUCUUGCGCAAUGGGGGGAACCCUGACGCAGCGACGCCGCGUGCGGGACGGAGGCCUUCGGGUCGUAAACCGCUUUCAGCAGGGAAGAGUCAAGACUGUACCUGCAGAAGAAGCCCCGGCUAACUACGUGCCAGCAGCCGCGGUAAUACGUAGGGGGCGAGCGUUAUCCGGAUUCAUUGGGCGUAAAGCGCGCGUAGGCGGCCCGGCAGGCCGGGGGUCGAAGCGGGGGGCUCAACCCCCCGAAGCCCCCGGAACCUCCGCGGCUUGGGUCCGGUAGGGGAGGGUGGAACACCCGGUGUAGCGGUGGAAUGCGCAGAUAUCGGGUGGAACACCGGUGGCGAAGGCGGCCCUCUGGGCCGAGACCGACGCUGAGGCGCGAAAGCUGGGGGAGCGAACAGGAUUAGAUACCCUGGUAGUCCCAGCCGUAAACGAUGGACGCUAGGUGUGGGGGGACGAUCUCCCCGUGCCGCAG